This 70-nucleotide transfer RNA is filed under the name Anolis medemi. RNAcentral's name for it is "tRNA-Trp". The record is from RNAcentral. Lineage: Eukaryota; Metazoa; Chordata; Lepidosauria; Squamata; Anolidae.
AAGAACUUAGGUUAAUUAAAACCAAGGGCCUUCAAAGCCCUAAAUAAGAAUAUAUCUUCUUAGUUUUUGU